Asparagus officinalis (garden asparagus) is the source of this 3119-nucleotide RNA transcript. It is a transcript of the gene named filament-like plant protein 7, with no coding region annotated. NCBI's taxonomy places the organism in Eukaryota, Viridiplantae, Streptophyta, Magnoliopsida, Asparagales, Asparagaceae. The transcript has 7 exons. The record is from RefSeq and is a predicted model, not a curated record.
GAUAGCUGCAAUAUAAUUGGUGUACUAGCUCGGUGGAGAACCAAACCUUUAUUUAAAUUAUUACGCUAAUUAACACCGUAAUUCCUUUAUUGCACUGAUGUGCGAAUAUAAAUUCUUAACGCGUCAUCGAUCACCAUGGAAACCAUCAUCAUCGUUCAUCAUCUUCAGCCCCACAGAAGUCAGAGCCGGGGUGGUCUUUAUUACGAGCAUCAGCUUUUAACUUUUCUUUUUUUUUUCCCCCUCACACCAAAUCCAUCUACGUUGACCCACGAACCACAACAAAUAGAAACAAAUUAAGACGCUGGUCCUUGGCGCUGCUGAGAGAGAGAGAGGAGCCUCUCACUUUCCUCUGCCUUAUUUAUUAAUGAUUCAUGAACAAUAAUUUAUGAGCUCGAGCGAGCAACAGUCCAGCUACCCAUUUCCUCCGCAUGCAAAGACAAAGUCAAGCGCUCCCACAAACUGCUACUUUAGCACUAAAUGUCAGCUUCAAGCAUGGAACAUAAAGCAUGGCUCUGGAGGAGAAAAUCUUCAGAAAAGGUUCUCACCAAAAAUGAGAAAUCUGAUCUCUUAAGCCAUGAACAGGAGCUAGAAAAAUCCUUGGAAUUGGAGAGAUCUUUAAAAGAUCUAAAGGAACAACUCUAUACUGUUCGCACCGAGUCUGAUGCCAAAGACAGUCUUCUAGCUAAACAGAAAAAGGUGGCCGAAGAGGCAAUUGCAGGUUGGGAAAAGGCAGAGACAGAAGCAGAAUCAUAUAAGAAAGAACUGGCUGAUGCAUUACUUUUGAAAGUCGCUGCUGAAGCAAGAAUAGCUAACAUAGAUGCAAAUCUUAAUGAAUGCAUGAAACAAUUACAAGUUGUUAAGGAAGAGCAUCAACACACUAUAAUUGAUGCUGCUACAAAGUUAUCGAGAUUGCAAGAAAAAGCACGACUGUUAGAAACAAGCUUAGUAGAGAAAAAUGAAAGCAUUGAAGCUAAAGACAAGUUAAUUGAAGAUUUAUACGAAUCCAAAUCCCAGACUGAAGCAAUUUUUACUGAAAUACUGGCAAGGCUAGAAUCCUCGGAGAAAGAUAAUGCUUCUCUCAAGUAUGAGGUUUUUAUGCUACAAAAGGAAAUUGAGGUUCGGAAUCAAGAUAGGGAUUUCCAUAUCAAGGCAGCGGAUGCUGCUCAUAGCAAAUAUCAUGAUUGCGUGAAAAAGAUUAGUAAACUCGAAGCUGAGUGCCAAAGAUUGCGUGUUAUGCUCCGGAAGAGACUUCCGGGGCCUGCUUCCAUAGCUAAAAUGAGGAGUGAGGUUUCAAGGGAUUAUGUAUCAGGAGAUGAUUAUGAUUCAUUAAGUACAAGAGUUGUCUCUCUUGUUGAAAGAGUGAAUGCAGUUGAAGACGAAAGUAAAGUUUUGAAAGAGACAUUAGUAAGGAAGAACAAUGAACUUCAGUCAUUGAGGUCACAGCUUGAGGAAUCCUCAAAAAGAAAGCUUUCUUUAGAAUUGAGGAGGAGAAGUUUCUCGAAUGAUUUGCCUCUUGCAGCGAUUUCUGAAGAUAUUGGAAGAAGAAAUGAAGAUGCUAUUAGCUGUGCUGAGUCAUGGGCUUCUGCUUUAAUUUCUGAAAUUGAGCAUUUCAGAAAUGGGAAAGCAACGACACCAUCAACUACAACUGCAGGAGUCUCAGAACUUAGCUUGAUGGAUGAUUUCAUAGAGAUGGAAAAGCUAGCUAUAGUUUGUGUUGAUAAAAAGCCUGAAAGUUCCAAUAUGCAACAUGCUUCUAUCAAGGGACAUCCUUCAGAUAUCGAAAAACCUCUGUGCAAAAUGAUUCAAAUGGUUGAGGGAAUCAUACAGAAAUCUUUUACGAGCAACGUUGGUCAACAGAUAUUAGAUGAAAAAGAUGAAAGUAGUAUGACGCAGUAUAAAUCCUUCUUAGCUAGCGGGUGUGUAGCUCAUGUCUUUCUAUGGGAAGUUUCUGAACUGUGCAAUGUUCUACAGAAUUUUAUUGUUGUAUGCAAUGAUUUGUUUCAUGGAAAGGUAGAUUUCAAGAAAUUUAUAGGUGAACUUGCCUCAACUCUAGAAUGGAUAGUCAAUCGCUGCCAUUCCCUUCAAGAUUUAUCGACCACGAAGGACACGAUGAAGAAUCUUUUGAAUGGGGACGAAUUACAUGAAGAUACUGAAUUUAAAUCUGGACCUUCAAUCUCAGAGGCAAAAUUAUUAACUCUGAAUAAUUCAAAUAGAUCGAUGGAAGAAAAGCAUGAGAAUCAGAAAUCAAUUGCAGAAGAUGUUGGCACACGACUUACUGUUUCCAAUGCUGAACUGAGGGACGUGCGGCGAAGUUUCUCCUCUCUUGAAGCUGAAUUGGAGGGUAACGGUGGUUUUAACGAAGAAUUGGACACGAAAUGUCUUGAGCUUCAACUUCAGUUAGAAAGUGGAUCUACAAAAGAGACACCAAAGUCUGACAAGGGCGAAGAGGAAAAGCAACUCAGAACAGAUUGGGAAAUCUCUGAAGCUUCUGAGAAACUCGCAGAGUGCCAAGCAACCAUACUAAACCUCGGGAAACAGUUACAAGCUUUGGCAGCACCAAAAGAUGCAUCUCUUUUUGAUAAAGUGAUAUCACCAACUCCAGCUACCAGAAUCAACUAUCAUCCUCCGUUACUCGAUCAAACGCAAGAUAAUGCUGAUUCCACACCUGAACAUCUCAAAUCUCCCAAGACGAAAGAAAUGAUCUGCACCGAAGUAAAACAGCCGUCACCGGCGAAGUUAAAAGAUGAUUAUAACUUCAAUGAGCAAAAGGGUCAGAGUGAUGCAGGAAAGCUUGUGAUUGUAUCGAGGAGACAGAAGGGGGGAGUGAGUUUUCUGAAGAAAUUGCUGUCGAGGAGGAAGGAGAGUAAUAAGAAGAAGGCUUUGCCUAUUGGCUCGUCUUAAGGGAAAUUUAGGGUGGUGUAGCUGAGGCUUGCGUGAUUUUGUUUUUGUUUAAUGGAGUUGGAAGAUGCUGUAAAUAAAGGUUUUCUUUUCUUUUUUUUUUUUUUUUUUUGAAAAUAAACAUCAAGUUAUACCAUGAAUUCAGUACUUAAAAGACAGGUACAUUUCAAAUAAUCACAUUAUGGUUCUUCAUUUUGUAAAUAACUUGGGAAGUGGCCCCA